UGCAUUAUCGAGAUAACUCAAGACGAAGACCUCGCCGCGUCGAUCCUCGACACGUUCUAGACUCCGACGCGAUACUCCGAAGGUCUCACCGUCGCGCCCGAUCCUACCUUCUCGUUCAGUUCGCCACGCCUCACCACAAGUUCGCAAGAAGAAUCCGGUAUGGAGGUUUCGAUGCUCGCACCUUCAAUGAACCGAUUUGAAAGCUAGAAAUCCAGCAUCGUCACCAUGAUAUGGCUUUCGAGAAUUCCUUCAUCGAGUCAGAAGGUGGAUUAUCCCGCUCGCAUUAUCGAGGUGAGAUGAAUCGAGGCGCCACUUUAUAGGUACUCCAAGAUUCUCGUGUUAAACGUUCAACAGCAAGUAGAAAUCCAGAUCAAGUCUAAACAAUCGUUGUCUUUACCGUGUUCGACAUCAAUGAAUCGUAUGGCACAUCAGAAGAAACGUGCCACAAAUUGAGUCGAGAUAAACUCAUGGUGUUUUAAAUUUGGCGCGGCGUGAUGUGUGGUCGUUGCCAAUGAAGGUUGAGGAUGUGAUGAAGAUAGAAGAAUGUGUGGAGAUGAAAGGUUGAAGGAUGAGAGGGUUCAAUAGAGAGGUUCAGUUUCUGCAAAUUCUCUUGCAGUUCAAAAACUGAGAGAAAGAUGAAGCAUGAAGAUGAAGUGCGUGAAGCGCCAUGAAGAAUGAAGCGUGAAGAGUUUUUAUUUUUUGUGAAAAUGAUCUAUAUCCCUCCAAUCACAAUAUAGGUAUCUAUUUAUAGAACCUUCGAUUCAAAAGCCAAAUGCUAUUCUGUUGGAGUUGGUUAUUUUAGCAGUUUGUUAAGUUAGUUCAGGCUGUUAGAAAAACAUUUAUGAGUCGGUUGGGUUAGUUAAUAAAGGAGAAGGUUAGCUAACAAACCUGUUAGGAUUGUGUUAUGAAAAUUAUUUUUAAUUCCAAAUGCAAUUUAAUUAUUAGUUGCACAUAUACAAUUCAGUAGAAAUCUAAAUUAAAGAUGAAUUUCUGUUAUGGAAAUGGUUGAAUCAGUGCACUGCUUAUGUUAGUUUGAAGUGAGUGCAUUGAAUCUAGUUACAGGGCUGCUAGUAUGAUGGAUGAGCUGUUUUGCUGUGAUGGUUUUUUUGCUUUGUUUAUGUUUAUAGAAGAUGCUAUUGUUCAUGCUAAAUGUAGCGGUUAAGUGUUAUUGGUUUGGAAGAGUGACAUUAGUUGAAAUUGGAGGAGAAUUUGGUUUUGUAGGGAUCAAUUUGAAAAGACGGAUUUGCAAGGCUAUUGAAUACGGGAGCGUGUUAGUAAUCUAGGUUAGUUGCUUUGAAAUCAUGUUAGAAGGAGGUUUUAGCAGAAAAAUCUAAAUAUUUAGAAUGUGGAGUUUAAUUAUGCAAUUUAUGGUGGAUUUCACUUGAAUAACUAUGUCAUAAUUUGUUGUGUUA
This is a long non-coding RNA of Lathyrus oleraceus (garden pea), 1412 nucleotides long. RefSeq lists it as uncharacterized. NCBI's taxonomy places the organism in Eukaryota, Viridiplantae, Streptophyta, Magnoliopsida, Fabales, Fabaceae. The record is from RefSeq and is a predicted model, not a curated record. The transcript is spliced from 2 exons.